This is a long non-coding RNA of Scylla paramamosain (green mud crab), 1398 nucleotides long. RefSeq lists it as uncharacterized. The transcript has 9 exons. The record is from RefSeq and is a predicted model, not a curated record. NCBI's taxonomy places the organism in Eukaryota, Metazoa, Arthropoda, Malacostraca, Decapoda, Portunidae.
CAUUGAGGUAAAUUCGUCCUCUCCUGCGGUAGCCAUCUUGACGAUCUGACGAACGAGGCGACUAACCUAAAGAAAUCAGCGAGUAUCGGAGGAAUCCAAGUAUUUUUUUAAUCUUAGUGGCGAUAAUCGAAAUCUCUGCACGUCACUAGAACCCAGAUCAGAGCGAGAUUCAUGGCCUCGCUUUGCACCGCCGCCGCCUCUGCCCGCCCUUGGCGGCGGCAACAGGUGGAAGGAAGGCAGAGGCUGAGGUAGGAGUGAAGUGGGAGGUUUCUAAGGAAGCCAGCGUACCACAUCAUGACAGCGCUGUACUGUGGCCUGGACAACACUCUUAAUGACAAUGAGGGCUUAACGUAAUCCCCUCUCCCAGCAUUCCUACCACCUGAAGUGACAUAGCCCAGUCCGGCCGCCCCUGCCCGUCCUCCUGGAAGGUAGCGCGCCCCUGGAACACGUCUGAGGGCCUCCUGCUCCCCUCCUCACGCACUGAAGGAUCCGAAAACCUCCGGGAGUCCACGCUGCAGGUGAAAAGAGGCUGUGACGAGACUGGUGUUGUGGACUGACUCAAGUGAUUAGAGGCCACACUUGUGAAGAGAAUACCACUGGCCACAUAACGAGUCCACGCCGCCCCUUCAUCCCCCACUACAUCUCUCAGCGGCUCUCCUGACCAUCCCAGACUCAGCCUGCAGAGCUUAACUUGAGCCUAAACCCGAGCCAACUCCUAAGGUGACUCGAGCUUCAAUCUGCCCAGCUGGGAGAGACGAGACGACGACGACAAAGCAAGGUGUGCAGGUGAGGUGUGCUGGCUCAGGUGAGGAAUCCACCUUUGCGUCGCAGGUGUGAUGGGGACCCGCGCUCAGGUGUGGAGGGCGGCAGACUCGGUCAAGCUUAAGUCUGGCACCAAACCAUCACGUCUUUUUAAGUGUGCGUCAUGUCAGGACUGAUGCAAUGCGGCGUGGUCGUUAGUGAUGGUCGGCAUGGCUCUCUCAUCACCAGUAUCAGCAGUGGGCGUGAUGGGCGGCGUCCCUCCUCCCCACCCCAGGGGUCAGGGGCCGCCAUGUUGUCCCCAUUAACACACUCCCUCCGCCCUGCAGCCCACGUUACUCAUUUAUCGACCGUCACUCAAAGGGCGGCGUGACAGCUGCGUUGGCCGCGGGUGAGUUGUUGUGGCACUGAGCCUCGUGCCAGCCGGUGAGUGCCAGUCGCUGCCAGGCACUGUUCAUACUUCAUACCAUGCUGGGGUCGCUCUCAUGCGUUCUAAUGUUUGUCCGCUGCUUCCUGUUUGCUAUUUCCUGUUUACUGUUUCCUGUCCUGUCCGUGGCUUGGUUUGUGUGUGUGUGUGUGUGUGUGUGUGUGUGUGUGUGUGUGUGUGUGUGUGUGUGUGUGUGUGUGUGUGUGUGUGUG